AUCAGUUAUUAUCUUUUACCAAACAAGUUAGCCCAAAAUUUCAAACAGGUUAAAAAAUUACAAUUUCUUUCUAAGGCCCAAAAGAAAAGAAAAGAGAAAGGCCCGCCCAUUAAAAGGAAAACCCACCAAGGGAGAGUCUCUUGGACUCCUGUGAUCGGAAUUGUUAGUAGUAAAUAUUUAAUUUUAAAGCUUAUUAUCACAAAACGUUCCUAAAGUUUACGAAACUAUCAUAUUGCAUCUUUAAUGUUUUUUUGUGUCACUUAUGGUCUUCAAGGUUAGUAUGUGCAAUCACAAAUGGUCCAUGCCGUUAGGUUCUGUCAAAAACUCUGUUAGUUUGCUGACUUGGCAUACAUAUAUAUUACAAAACAUCCAUGAGGUUUAC
RNAcentral lists this long non-coding RNA (382 nucleotides) under Prunus dulcis (almond). Its description in RNAcentral is "sRNA ncRNA". Lineage: Eukaryota; Viridiplantae; Streptophyta; Magnoliopsida; Rosales; Rosaceae. The record is from RNAcentral.